RNAcentral lists this ribosomal RNA (253 nucleotides) under uncultured bacterium. Its description in RNAcentral is "partial 16S ribosomal RNA". It matches the Rfam family "Bacterial small subunit ribosomal RNA", at positions 524 to 776 of the family's 1533-position model. The record is from RNAcentral.
UACGUAGGGUGCGAGCGUUGUCCGGAAUUACUGGGCGUAAAGAGCUCGUAGGUGGUUUGUCGCGUUGUUCGUGAAAACUCACAGCUCAACUGUGGGCGUGCGGGCGAUACGGGCAGACUGGAGUACUGCAGGGGAGACUGGAAUUCCUGGUGUAGCGGUGGAAUGCGCAGAUAUCAGGAGGAACACCGGUGGCGAGGGCGGGUCUCUGGGCCGUAACUGACGCUGAGGAGCGAAAGCAUGGGGAGCGAACAGG